Molecule: non-coding RNA, 157 nt
Organism: Beta vulgaris subsp. vulgaris (sugar beet)
Lineage: Eukaryota; Viridiplantae; Streptophyta; Magnoliopsida; Caryophyllales; Amaranthaceae
Source: Rfam
GAUAACUGGCUUGUGGCAGCCAAACGUUCAUAGCGACGUUGCUUUUUGAUCCUUCAAUGUCGGCUCUUCCUAUCGUUGUGAAGCAGAAUUCAAGUGUUGGAUUGUUCACCCACCAAUAGGGAACGUGAGCUCGGUUUAGACCGUCCUGAGACAGGUU